AGUGAACGCUGGCGGUAGGCCUAACACAUGCAAGUCGAACGGCAGCACAGGAGAGCUUGCUCUCUGGGUGGCGAGUGGCGGACGGGUGAGGAAUACAUCGGAAUCUACUCUGUCGUGGGGGAUAACGUAGGGAAACUUACGCUAAUACCGCAUACGACCUACGGGUGAAAGCAGGGGAUCUUCGGACCUUGCGCGAUUGAAUGAGCCGAUGUCGGAUUAGCUAGUUGGCGGGGUAAAGGCCCACCAAGGCGACGAUCCGUAGCUGGUCUGGGAGGAUGAUCGGCCACACUGGAACUGAGACACGGUCCAGACUCCUACGGGAGGCAGCAGUGGGGAAUAUUGGACAAGGGGCGCAAGCCUGAUCCAGCCAUACCGCGUGGGUGAAGAAGGCCUUCGGGUUGUAAAGCCCUUUUGUUGGGAAAGAAAUCCAGCUGGCUAAUACCCGGUUGGGAUGACGGUACCCAAAGAAUAAGCACCGGCUAACUUCGUGCCAGCAGCCGCAGUAA
Molecule: ribosomal RNA, 506 nt
Filed under: uncultured bacterium
Lineage: Bacteria
Description: partial 16S ribosomal RNA
Rfam family: Bacterial small subunit ribosomal RNA
Source: RNAcentral